UAUAUAUAUUGCCAAAUUGCAAAUCCAUAACUCUCACCCACAUGAAUCCAGCACCUCAAAUUGAACCCAAAGAUCGAACUGGGCAGAACUUGUCGUUGGUGGGUAGCACCGUCGCUUUCGUCGUCGAUUGGAUAGCGUCGUAGUCGCUUAGCUCGUUGUCGAAGGAAGAAACACUACCACUUAGCUCAUUGUUAUACCGGGUUGCUCACUAAGCUCAUCGUCGCCGUUGAUGAUGAGAUUGUUGACACUGAUGAAGAGGAAGAAUAAUAAAAUGCUUGUGAUGAUGAUGAUGAUGAGAAGAGAGAAAUAUUAUCUCAUUUGAAAAAUCUUAUUUAGUGAAUGUUUUGAAUACUCUAAUUUAGUAUUAUAUUAUUUUUUAUAUCAUCAUUUUUGAAAAGGGAGAAUUGUUAUAAUUACUAUUAUUUUUAUAUGAAAAAAAGUUUGAUUAAAAUAAUAUACCAACUUAUUUUUAUUAGAAGAAUUUUCUAAGAGAUGAAUUAUUUUUUCACUUUUUU
RNAcentral lists this long non-coding RNA (515 nucleotides) under Citrus maxima (pomelo). RNAcentral's name for it is "long non-coding RNA (CMAX_LNC002727)". Lineage: Eukaryota; Viridiplantae; Streptophyta; Magnoliopsida; Sapindales; Rutaceae. The record is from RNAcentral.